GUCUACAGCCAUACCACCCUGAACUUGCCCAAUCCUGUCUUAGAAGCUAAGUAGGGUUGGGCCUGGCACCAGCCUUGGAUGGAACAAACCUCAAGGCAAACAGUAGGUU
Molecule: ribosomal RNA, 109 nt
Organism: Bison bison bison
Lineage: Eukaryota; Metazoa; Chordata; Mammalia; Artiodactyla; Bovidae
Source: Ensembl